RNAcentral lists this ribosomal RNA (425 nucleotides) under uncultured bacterium. RNAcentral describes it as "partial 16S ribosomal RNA". It matches the Rfam family "Bacterial small subunit ribosomal RNA", at positions 359 to 776 of the family's 1533-position model. The record is from RNAcentral.
GAAUAUUGGACAAUGGGCGCAAGCCUGAUCCAGCCAUACCGCGUGGGUGAGGAAGGCCUUCGGGUUGUAAAGCCCUAUUGUUGGGAAAGAUAAGCAGUCGGCUAAUACCCGUUUGUUCUGACGGUACCCAAAGAAUAAGCACCGGCCAACUCCGUGCCUGCCUCCGCGGUAAUACGAAGGGUGCAAGUGUUAGUCGGAAUUACUGGGCGUAAAGCGUGCGUAGGUGGUUGUUUAAGUCUGUUGUGAAAGCCCUGGGCUCAACCUUGGAAUUGCAGUGGAUACGGGGCGACUAGAGUGUGGUAGAGGGUAGUGGAAUUCCCGGUGUAGCAGUGAAAUGCGUAGAGAUCGGGAGGAACAUCCAUGGCGAAGGCAGCUACCUGGACCAACACUGACACUGAGGCACGAAAGCGUGGGGAGCAAACAGG